CGGUGUUUAACUGGCGUGAUGUGGGACGUCCUACCGGUGGGCUUAGCCUCGCGAGGGGCGGCCCAACUAAUAUCCCGUCGCGGUGCUCUUUACUGAGUGUCGAGUCGGGCCGGUACGUUUACUUUGAACAAAUUAGAGUGCUUAAAGCAGGCUAUCCUCGCCUGAAUACUGCGUGCAUGGAAUAAUGGAAUAGGACCUCGGUUCUAUUUUGUUGGUUUUCGGAACCCCGAGGUAAUGAUUAAUAGGGACAGAUGGGGGCAUUCGUAUUGCGACGUUAGAGGUGAAAUUCUUGGAUCGUCGCAAGACGGACAGAAGCGAAAGCAUUUGCCAAAAAUGUUUUCAUUAAUCAAGAACGAAAGUUAGAGGUUCGAAGGCGAUCAGAUACCGCCCUAGUUCUAACCAUAAACGAUGCCAGCUAGCGAUCCGCCGAAGUUCCUCCGAUGACUCGGCGGGCAGCUUCCGGGAAACCAAAGCUUUUGGGUUCCGGGGGAAGUAUGGUUGCAAAGCUGAAACUUAAAGGAAUUGACGGAAGGGCACCACCAGGAGUGGAGCCUGCGGCUUAAUUUGACUCAACACGGGAAACCUCACCAGGCCCAGACACCGGAAGGAUUGACAGAUUGAUAGCUCUUUCUUGAUUCGGUGGGUGGUGGUGCAUGGCCGUUCUUAGUUGGUGGAGCGAUUUGUCUGGUUAAUUCCGAUAACGAACGAGCCUCUAGCCUGCUAAAUAGGCGUACCUUAUGGUAUCGCGAAGGCCCCCGGCUUCGGCCGGUGGGUUUUUACUACCAACGUACAAACAAAUCUUCUUAGAGGGACAGGCGG
This 819-nucleotide ribosomal RNA is filed under the name uncultured eukaryote. RNAcentral's name for it is "SSU rRNA". It matches the Rfam family "Eukaryotic small subunit ribosomal RNA", at positions 629 to 1426 of the family's 1831-position model. The record is from RNAcentral.